Molecule: small RNA, 573 nt
Filed under: Pongo abelii (Sumatran orangutan)
Lineage: Eukaryota; Metazoa; Chordata; Mammalia; Primates; Hominidae
Description: retained intron
Source: RNAcentral
AUCCUGAAGAUCUUCGUGGACAAUCUCUUUGCUAUUGUCCUGCUGAAGCAGGCCACAGCUGUGCGCUGCUUGGACAUGAGUGCCUCCCGUAAGAAGCUGGCCGUGGUAGAUGAAAAUGACACUUGCCUGGUGUAUGACAUCGACACCAAGGAGCUGCUUUUUCAGGAACCAAACGCCAACAGUGUGGCCUGGAACACCCAGUGUGAGGACAUGCUCUGCUUCUCGGGAGGAGGCUACCUCAACAUCAAAGCCAGCACCUUCCCUGUGCACCGGCAGAAGCUGCAGGGCUUUGUGGUCGGCUACAAUGGCUCCAAGAUCUUCUGCCUCCACGUCUUCUCCAUUUCUGCCGUGGAGGUGCCACAGGUAACUGGGGGCGCCUGUCCAUUCUUAGCACUGGCAAGGCUGACAAGACCAGGGAAGCCGGGCCCUUUGCUGGUGCUUUGGGGAGAGAAUAGCAAGGAGAGAAGAAUGGCAGCUGUGAUGUUGUGGGAGGCAGUCUGGGCCUGGAACCUGCAGCCCUGUCUCCACUCCUUGCAACCUGUGUGACUGGGGGCAAACAGCUCAACCUCCCUG